Molecule: ribosomal RNA, 437 nt
Filed under: uncultured bacterium
Lineage: Bacteria
Description: partial 16S ribosomal RNA
Rfam family: Bacterial small subunit ribosomal RNA
Source: RNAcentral
ACGGAAGGCAGCAGUGGGGAAUAUUGGGCAAUGGGCGAAGGCCUGACCCAGCAACGCCGCGUGAGUGAAGAAGGGUUUCGGCUCGUAAAGCUCUGUCCUAUGGGACGAAGAAAAUGACGGUACGAUAGGAGGAAGCCCCGGCUAACUACGUGCCAGCAGCCGCGGUAAUACGUAGGGGGCGAGCGUUGUCCGGAAUGAUUGGGCGUAAAGGGCGCGUAGGCGGCCCGGUAAGUCUGGAGUGAAAGUCCUGCUUUCAAGGUGGGAAUUGCUUUGGAUACUGUCGGGCUCGAGUGCAGGAGAGGAAAGCGGAAUUACCGGUGUAGCGGUGAAAUGCGUAGAGAUCGGUAGGAACACCAGUGGUGAAGGCGGCUUUCUGGACUGAAACUGACGCUGAGGCGCGAAAGCGUGGGGAGCAAACAGGAUUAGAUACCCUGGUA